CAGUCGCCACGGUAAUACAGAGGGUGCGAGCGUUAAUCGGAUUUACUGGGCGUAAAGCGUGCGUAGGCGGCUAAUUGAGUCGGAUGUGAAAUCCCCGAGCUUAACUUGGGAAUUGCAUUCGAUACUGGUUAGCUAGAGUGUGGGAGAGGAUGGUAGAAUUCCAGGUGUAGCGGUGAAAUGCGUAGAGAUCUGGAGGAAUACCGAUGGCGAAGGCAGCCAUCUGGCCUAACACUGACGCUGAGGUACGAAAGCAUGGGGAGCAAACAGGAUUAGAUACCCCUGUAGUCCCUGUCUCUUAUAC
Molecule: ribosomal RNA, 301 nt
Filed under: uncultured bacterium
Lineage: Bacteria
Description: partial 16S ribosomal RNA
Rfam family: Bacterial small subunit ribosomal RNA
Source: RNAcentral